RNAcentral lists this ribosomal RNA (492 nucleotides) under uncultured bacterium. Its description in RNAcentral is "partial 16S ribosomal RNA". It matches the Rfam family "Bacterial small subunit ribosomal RNA", at positions 29 to 507 of the family's 1533-position model. The record is from RNAcentral.
AGUGAACGCUGGCGGUAGGCCUAACACAUGCAAGUCGAACGGCAGCACAGUAAGAGCUUGCUCUUACGGGUGGCGAGUGGCGGACGGGUGAGGAAUACAUCGGAAUCUACUUUUUCGUGGGGGAUAACGUAGGGAAACUUACGCUAAUACCGCAUACGACCUACGGGUGAAAGCAGGGGAUCUUCGGACCUUGCGCGAUUGAAUGAGCCGAUGUCGGAUUAGCUAGUUGGCUGGGUAAAGGCCCACCAAGGCGACGAUCCGUAGCUGGUCUGAGAGGAUGAUCAGCCACACUGGAACUGAGACACGGUCCAGACUCCUACGGGAGGCAGCAGUGGGGAAUAUUGGACAAUGGGCGCAAGCCUGAUCCAGCCAUACCGCGUGGGUGAAGAAGGCCUUCGGGUUGUAAAGCCCUUUUGUUGGGAAAGAAAAGAAGCAGGUUAAUACCCCGCUGUUCUGACGGUACCCAAAGAAUAAGCACCGGCUAACUUCGUG